This 406-nucleotide ribosomal RNA is filed under the name uncultured bacterium. RNAcentral's name for it is "partial 16S ribosomal RNA". It matches the Rfam family "Bacterial small subunit ribosomal RNA", at positions 30 to 526 of the family's 1533-position model. The record is from RNAcentral.
AUUGAACGCUGGCGGCAGGCCUAACACAUGCAAGUCGAACGAGUGGCGGACGGGUGCGUAAUGUCUGGGAAUCUGCCCGCUGGUGGGCGAUCACUACUGGAAACGGUAGCUAAUACCGCAUACCAUCGGAUUUGCCCAGAUGGGAUUAGCUAGUCGGUGGGGUAACGGCUCACCUAGGCGACGAUCCCUAGCUGAUCUGAGAGGAUGACCAGGAGCGCUGGAACAGAGACACGGUCCAGGGUCGUACGGGAGGCAGCAGUGGGGAAUAUUGCACGAUGGGCGCAAGCCGGAUGCUGCCAUGCCGCGUGUAUGAAGAGAGCCUUGGGGUUGUAAAGUACUUUAAGCGAGUAGGCGUUACACGCAGAAGAAGCACCGGCUGACUCCGUGCAGGCAGCCGCGGUAAUUC